GAUGAACGCUGGCGGCGUGCCUAAUACAUGCAAGUCGAGCGAACAGACGCGGAGCUUGCGCCUCUGACGUUAGAGGCGGACGGGAGAGUAACACGUGGAUAACCUAGCUAUUGGACUGGGAUAACUUCGGGAAACCGGAGCCCAUACAGGAUAAUCUAUUGCACGGUGGGGUUCAAUAGGUAAAGGCGGUUUUGGUGUCACUUAUGGCUGGUUCCGCGCCGCAUGAGCUAGUUGGUAAGGUAACGGUUUACCAAGCGCCCGACGGGUAGACGACCUGUGAGGCGGAUCGGCCACACUGGAACUGGAACACGGUCCAGACUCCUGAGGGACGCAGCAGUAGGGAAUCUUCCGCAAUGGGCGAAAGCCUGACGCAGCAACGCCGCGUGAGUGAUGAAGACCUUCGGAUCGUAAUACUCUGUUAUUAGUGAAGAACAAAUGUGUAAUUAACUAUGCACGUCUUGACGGUACCUAAUCAGAAAGCAACGGCUAACUACGUG
RNAcentral lists this ribosomal RNA (497 nucleotides) under uncultured bacterium. RNAcentral's name for it is "partial 16S ribosomal RNA". It matches the Rfam family "Bacterial small subunit ribosomal RNA", at positions 28 to 507 of the family's 1533-position model. The record is from RNAcentral.